RNAcentral lists this transfer RNA (93 nucleotides) under Sphingobium amiense. Its description in RNAcentral is "tRNA-Arg". The record is from RNAcentral. Lineage: Bacteria; Pseudomonadati; Pseudomonadota; Alphaproteobacteria; Sphingomonadales; Sphingobiaceae.
GCGGGCUUGGGCAAGGGGUCGGGCCGCUCCAUUUCCGGCGUGGACCUCGGCGCCGCGGUGCUGGCGGCGAAGGACCACGGCCUUCUGGUCGCG